AAAAUCAAGCUGAAUUCGGAUGAGCAUCUGUAUGGAGGUCACGGACGGCUGAACCACAACACAGAGUUCUUCACAGAGGCCCACGGAUUCAAUGGACGCCAAAACUCCAUAAAGGUCUACAUCCCCUGCAGAACAGCUAUUGUCCUGGCCAACGAGGAGAUAGAUUACUGUUAUUAGAGGAUGAUUGUCUCCGCAGAGACCAGGAUGGAGAAUGGAUUCCAACCUCAAACUGAGUGUUAACAAUCACCUUCAUUUUAAAGUGUCAACCUUGCACACCACCCAAACCCACUUGUUGUGUCCAACUCUUUUUUUCCAAAUUGUAAAAAAAGCUUUGUGUGCUUUCAAACACCAUCUGCAACCUUAGAAGCAGUGUAACCCCAUUUACUACAGAUUGGUCCAUUUGGGUAGUGGCCAACCUAACCAGCAGCUAGAUGCUAAAACUUAAAACCCUGCCGAGUCCAUCCACCACAAGCCAGCAGCCAUUUAUAGGCUCUGCUGAAUUUGGCGUGUCAUCUGAAACACAUGACUGGCGAGUGUGGCAGUGGAAAGCAAUACAGCAAGCAUUCAAACAUUUCAAAAGCUCAGAGAAAAAGGAAUCUUUUUGAAUAUUCUGUAUGUGGAAAUGUAUUUCAUUUGGUUCAAUCAUUUAAUAUUUUAAUAAAGAUGAUAUUAUUGUGUCAAAGACACAAAGAGAUUUAAAGUAUUACCAACACUUGAAAAUCAGAAAGUCUCAUAUAAUUGGUGAUCCAUCUUUGUUAAUUUGCAUUUUGGGACCUUGUACGUAUUAAAAUAUUGCAAUUUGCACAGAGUAAUGAGCUGCUUUGAAUAAUGUAUGAAUGUGUAUCCAAACCAGUUGUGUUGUAAUGUUUGAAUUCAGCUACUGGGAGCAUUUAUGUGGAUAUUUACGGCCCUGUUAUGAAGCCAGUAAUUUGAAGCUAAAACAAAGUGAUAAAAUCACCUAAUAUUAUCACAGUGUGUUUCAUAAUGUACUAGUUACAUGUUUAACUGAAUUACACAGUUUCUUGUCCACCUAACGAAAGGGUUAUGAAUGGUGUUCUCCUACUGUUUAUCCAUUAAAGUAUACGUCAUGUGUUUUAAAGUUGGAAGAGUUAUACUCAAAUAAUACUGUGACUGCUGGAAACAACACAACAUUUCAUUAAAAUGGCCGUCCACAUGAGAUUUCAUUUCUUGAAGUUAUGUUUUUCAAAUGACUGUUAUAAUUAAUGUUCUUUUUCUAAAAGUCCCUUGUUGCCACGUGAAUGGAUGUCUUUUGGCCAACUUUCAUCAUUCUCUGCACGUUUUAUCAAAGCAAUACUGUGAACCGCCCUGAGUUUGGGCGACCCAGAUAAAGCUAAUGCCUUGAUUUACUGCCAUGGAUAUUGUAAUUCUGUGAUCCACACCUAGUGCAUUAAUACAGAUUCUCAGCCAUUUAAGCUGUGUAUUGUAGCAUAUGGCAGGUUUUGAUCUGCCUUCCCUGCAGCUGAAAGAAACAAAUUGAUAUGCAGGGCCAUCAUUCUGUGUUUAGCCAAAAGUAUCAUGAACAUGUCAUUUCUUUUUGUGUAGCACCAAAGCAUUCAAAAAUGCUUUUUCUCCACCUCUCCAAAAGUACAGACAGAAUGCGUCUGAAUACAUUUCAAGCACCGAAGUUGUGAGACUGAAGUGGAGUGUUAAAUCAUCCCUCAUCUGACCUAAUGUCAUUGUCGUUUUACUACUGCCAAAAUGCAUUUGUUCUCAGAAGUGAAAAUUGAUGUCUGAUACACAGUAACUAUUGCUGCAUAUUUCUUCCAUUAUGACUAAUGAUAAUAAAUCAGUGGCUGUCGGGCCAUGAGGAAAAUCUG
This is a long non-coding RNA of Notothenia coriiceps (black rockcod), 1838 nucleotides long. RefSeq lists it as uncharacterized. The transcript has 2 exons. The record is from RefSeq and is a predicted model, not a curated record. NCBI's taxonomy places the organism in Eukaryota, Metazoa, Chordata, Actinopteri, Perciformes, Nototheniidae.